This 80-nucleotide microRNA precursor is filed under the name Ovis aries (sheep). Its description in RNAcentral is "miRNA (ENSOARG00000024869.1)". The record is from RNAcentral. Lineage: Eukaryota; Metazoa; Chordata; Mammalia; Artiodactyla; Bovidae.
UUGAGUUGGCCAAAAAGUUUGUUCCAGUUUUUCUAUCACAUCUUAUGGAAAAACCGGACUGAACUUUCUGGCCAACCCAA